RNAcentral lists this ribosomal RNA (300 nucleotides) under uncultured Bacillus sp. RNAcentral describes it as "partial 16S ribosomal RNA". The stretch from base 52 to 300 matches the Rfam family "Bacterial small subunit ribosomal RNA", at positions 547 to 795 of the family's 1533-position model. The record is from RNAcentral. Lineage: Bacteria; Bacillati; Bacillota; Bacilli; Caryophanales; Bacillaceae.
GGAAACGGGGGGGAGGGAGGCAGGGUAAUAAGUGGGGGUUGGGGGGUGGUCGGGAUGAUUGGGUGUAAAGUGGAGUUAGGCGGGUUGGGAAGGCGGGGGUGAAAACCUGGAGCUCAACCGCAGAACUGCCUUGGAUACUGGCGACCUUGAGUCCGGGAGAGGUGAGUGGAACUCCGAGUGUAGAGGUGAAAUUCGUAGAUAUUCGGAAGAACACCAGUGGCGAAGGCGGCUAACUGGCCCGUUACUGACGCUGAGGUGCGAAAGCGUGGGGAGCAAACAGGAUUAGAUACCCUUGUAGUC